GGACACGCUGGCGGCGUGCUUAACACAUGCAAGUCGAACGGUGACGAGGAGCUUGCUCCUCUGAUCAGUGGCGAACGGGUGAGUAACACGUGAGCAACCUGCCCCAGACUCUGGGAUAACAGUUGGAAACAGCUGCUAAUACCGGAUACGAGACGGAGAGGCAUCUCUACCGUCUGGAAAGUUUUUCGGUCUGGGAUGGACUCGCGGCCUAUCAGCUAGUUGGUGAGGUAAUGGCUCACCAAGGCGACGACGGGUAGCCGGCCUGAGAGGGCGAACGGCCACACUGGGACUGAGACACGGUCCAGACUCCUACGGGAGGCAGCAGUGGGGAAUUUUGGACAAUGGGCGAAAGCCUGAUCCAGCCAUGCCGCGUGCAGGAAGAAGGCCUUCGGGUUGUAAACCGCUUUAGUCUAGGAAAAAGGGGUGCGAGGUUAAUACCCUCGUGCUUUGAUGGUACUGGAAGAAUAAGCACCGGCUAACUACGUG
This 486-nucleotide ribosomal RNA is filed under the name uncultured bacterium. Its description in RNAcentral is "bacterial SSU rRNA". It matches the Rfam family "Bacterial small subunit ribosomal RNA", at positions 33 to 507 of the family's 1533-position model. The record is from RNAcentral.